GAUGAACGCUGGCGGCGUGCCUAAUACAUGCCAGUCGAGCGAACAGACGAGGAGCUUGCUCCUCUGACGUUAGCGGCGGACGGGUGAGUAACACGUGGAUAACCUACCUAUAAGACUGGGAUAACUUCGGGAAACCGGAGCUAAUACCGGAUAAUAUAUUGAACCGCAUGGUUCAAUAGUGAAAGACGGUUUUGCUGUCACUUAUAGAUGGAUCCGCGCCGCAUUAGCUAGUUGGUAAGGUAACGGCUUACCAAGGCGACGAUGCGUAGCCGACCUGAGAGGGUGAACGGCCACACUGGAAAUGAGACACGGUCCAGACUCCUACGGGAGGCAGCAGUAGGGAAUCUUCCGAAAUGGGCGAAAGCCUGACGGAGCAACGGCGCGGGGUUGAUGAAGGUCUUCGGAUCGUAAAACUCUGUUAUUAGGGAAGAACAAAUGUGUAAGUAACUACGCACGGCUUGACGGUACCUAAUCAGAAAGCCACGGCUAACUACGUG
This 497-nucleotide ribosomal RNA is filed under the name uncultured bacterium. Its description in RNAcentral is "partial 16S ribosomal RNA". It matches the Rfam family "Bacterial small subunit ribosomal RNA", at positions 28 to 507 of the family's 1533-position model. The record is from RNAcentral.